CUAUGAUGAGUGAUAUAUGUGGGUUGAGAUAUAUUAUAGAAUAUCAAAUAUGUAUGCAUGGAUCCAAUUGGGAGUAUUUUUUUAUGCAAGUCAAGUUUUGGAAAUAUUUUUUGUGUAGGUCCCCAAGGUCUUAUAAAUAUUGGAAAUAUAUUGCAUAAGAAAGCCAGUGCUGAACUAGUACUGGAGGACGUACUAGCCAGUGAUCAGUUUGGUACAAAACAAGUCUGUACUAUGCUGUUCUAAGUCAUAAAUAGGGAGGAGGGGGUGG
This 268-nucleotide long non-coding RNA is filed under the name Elaeis guineensis (African oil palm). RNAcentral's name for it is "long non-coding RNA (EGUI_LNC076168)". Lineage: Eukaryota; Viridiplantae; Streptophyta; Magnoliopsida; Arecales; Arecaceae. The record is from RNAcentral.